This is a non-coding RNA of Podarcis lilfordi (Lilford's wall lizard), 76 nucleotides long. NCBI's taxonomy places the organism in Eukaryota, Metazoa, Chordata, Lepidosauria, Squamata, Lacertidae. The record is from the annotation of a GenBank genome assembly.
GCCUGGGAUAGCUCAAUUCGUAGAGAGCAUGAGGCUCUUAAACCCAGGGUCGUGGGUUUGAGCCCCGCAUUGGACA